AGGACGAACGCUGGCGGCGUGCUUAACACAUGCAAGUCGAACGAGGUCCAACCUUCGGGUGAAGACCUAGUGGCGAACGGGUGCGUAACACGUGAGGAACUUGUCCCGGUCUCUGGGAUAACAGUUGGAAACGACUGCUAAUACCGGAUGACGUCGGAGCGUCGCAUGGCGCGCUGACGAAAGGGUUACUGGAUCGGGAGAGCCUCGCGGCCUAUCAGCUUGUUGGUGGGUAACGGCCUACCAAGGCAUCGACGGGUAGCUGGUCUGAGAGGAUGAUCAGCCACACUGGGACUGAGACACGGCCCAGACUCCUACGGGAGGCAGCAGUGGGGAAUCUUGCGCAAUGGGCGAAAGCCUGACGCAGCAACGCCGCGUGCGGGAAGAAGGCUCUCGGGUUGUAAACCGCUUUCAGAAGGAACGAAACUGACGGUACUUUCAGAAGAAGGUGCGGCCAACUACGUGCCAGCAGCCGCGUAA
RNAcentral lists this ribosomal RNA (477 nucleotides) under uncultured bacterium. Its description in RNAcentral is "SSU rRNA". It matches the Rfam family "Bacterial small subunit ribosomal RNA", at positions 26 to 522 of the family's 1533-position model. The record is from RNAcentral.